This is a long non-coding RNA of Sitodiplosis mosellana (orange wheat blossom midge), 309 nucleotides long. RefSeq lists it as uncharacterized. The record is from RefSeq and is a predicted model, not a curated record. NCBI's taxonomy places the organism in Eukaryota, Metazoa, Arthropoda, Insecta, Diptera, Cecidomyiidae. The transcript is spliced from 4 exons.
AGGAUGCGUUCGAUUCGCAUGUCCAUCAAACAGUUCUUACCAAUUGAUACGUUCAUAGUAAACUUUUAAUAGUUCGAAGCUAGAAAAAUGCUGAGUCGAAGUUCUUUCACACUGCUGCUCAUUGGCUUGAUGGUAUCCGAGUUCUUAAUCGGGGAUGUGAGCGGAGCACCACCCGGGAGGAACGUAAACGAAAAAGACAUGUAUGGAGAGACAGCUCUGCAUAGAGCUGCUUUUGCUGGCAAAGUGAAGAAAGCUCAAAACCUCAUCGCUGAAGGAGCCGACCCUAAUAUUGGAAAUGAUUGGGGUGAG